UGCGCUGGGAGAAGCGGGCUUCACAGUGCUCACAGGCGUAGGGCCGCUCCCCAGAGUGCACGCGCCGGUGGCUGACCAGGCGAGACGAGGAGGAGAAGCGGCGCUCACAGUCUGGACACGGAUGAGAGGGAGCCACUCUGCUGGACCCUACAUCUCAGCCGGCCUUGAACUAGCCUCACACGGGGCCGAGUUGCGGCCAGAAUGGAGGAAUCACCACGGCGUGGGACACUUUGGUACCAAAAUGAACAACGGAACAAACAAUACCCUAAGAGAAUAUGGCGGCGACCCUUUAAGACCAUCAUUCACAAGCAUUCUGAGGCUUUCCACUCAUUUCCUCCAUUUGAUCUUAUCAGAUAAGAAACAGUUAAGCAGGUUCAGCCCAGGUUCUUAAAAUUCCUACCCCCUCAUUGGCUAUGGCGGAGACAGACUAGAAGACUUGGCUUCCGAAAGUGCGCGGUGAUUGGACAACUCGCCUCAUCGAAAUAAAGCGCUGAUUGGUGUCUUGGACCAGACUCUAGGACGCUGUUGCUAGGUAACGACUGACAGCUGUUUAUGCGCAAGAUGGAGGAGGUUCAGAGGAGGUAAUCAUGUAUUGAGGCCAUGUAGUUCAGCGUGAUUCUCCCUUGGCUGCUUUUGUUCCCUUGGUCCACAAGGCUUUCAAGAGUGUGUCCUGGCUGUAAAAUAAACUGGGCUCCUGUCCUGAGAGAAGUUAA
Marmota monax (woodchuck) is the source of this 713-nucleotide long non-coding RNA. RefSeq lists it as uncharacterized. The record is from RefSeq and is a predicted model, not a curated record. The transcript is spliced from 2 exons. NCBI's taxonomy places the organism in Eukaryota, Metazoa, Chordata, Mammalia, Rodentia, Sciuridae.